Molecule: long non-coding RNA, 847 nt
Organism: Dioscorea cayenensis subsp. rotundata (Guinea yam)
Lineage: Eukaryota; Viridiplantae; Streptophyta; Magnoliopsida; Dioscoreales; Dioscoreaceae
Exons: 3
Source: RefSeq, a predicted model, not a curated record
UCAAACUAUAUUGCCUACACAUAACCCAAGAUAUUUGUCAUAGCCUGUCCUCCUUAGCCCAAUACUGUUGCAGUUGUAGCCUAGCACUGUAGAUUGUAUGUGGUAUGACACUGUAGUAACCCGAGAAUUCCUUUGAAACUUCAACCCUUUCUCUUCCAAUUCCACCUUGAUUCUUGAACUGCGAACCCCAGUCUUUUCUCUAUUCAUCUUCUUCCUUUUGUGGUUAAAGAUCUAUAAAAGUAAGUAGGAGGAGCAGAAGCAAGGAUACGGCCCUACCACUGUAGUAGUGGUCCCCAUGGUCCAUCCUACAAAGAGGUGGCAUGGAUGACCAGUUAUUUAUCCCCUUCAAGAGCCGCGUAGAGAGCUUGAGAGGGUAGUGGAAGAUCCCACACAAAAUUCUGAGACACAGUGGCCACCGCAUAGGAUCUCAGAGGCCAACGUGAACAAAGGCAAUUAUUUUGUUACACUGAAAAGAAAUAACUUUGGCGAUUCCUAACUUAGUCGCUGUCAAGGCUAAAUUCAGAGAUGAUUUUGUUAGCUGGCCCAAAGAUUAAAUUUUCUACAUAGGCCUUGAACUCUAUUUGCUAUAUAUGUAUAUAGUUUUGAGCUUUAUAUCUUUACUGGGAAAUUAUGUUAUGUUUUAUUUUGGGAUGGUAUCUACAAGUUUAUAUUUGAGCUAUGUUUUCUACGUCAAUAUUAACAAGUGUUUGUAAAGUUUUGCAUUAGAAACUUAUGUGUAUAUUCAUACAUGCACUUUGCAUUAUGCCUUACCCUUACUUACCAUGUUCAUACUUGUAUAUUGUAAUUAUUUGACAUUUUGGAAAGGUAUGAAUAACCCUCUUUUGUA